This 1603-nucleotide unclassified non-coding RNA is filed under the name Portunus trituberculatus (swimming crab). Its description in RNAcentral is "uncharacterized LOC123512532, transcript variant X6". Lineage: Eukaryota; Metazoa; Arthropoda; Malacostraca; Decapoda; Portunidae. The record is from RNAcentral.
UCGGAAGUGAUCCAGUUAUACGUAUACCUAUUAUUGUGGCGGUAAAUAUCUUUAUUUGCAAUAUAGGUUAAACCGAUUCAUCCAUGUCAAAUGUUCCUUUAAGAGUUUGAAAGUGACUCAACGGUGCGAUAUUUUAAUAAUCUUCGUAAUCUACCAAGUGUGAAAAUGACAAGCGUCAAGAUAAAAAAAGCAAACAUUAUGAGAGGCAUCUGGCAUCAUCGGUGAGGUUGCCAGAUACACACUACUACUCUGACGCCCCGCCCUUGGCUCAGUCAGAGGCGGUCUAGCUUUUCUUGCAUUAGGCCGUUACCUCCGCUACCUCGUGAACAUUACGUGCACGGACAUUAUCUUUGAGAAGGAGACUGACCAGGCAAAAAUCACCAUGAAUGACGAUGAAAAUAAUCCUUUUAUGGGGAUUUAUGACGACCCAGCAGCCCUGGACAUGAAUUUUUCUACAUUUGACUCUAUUGAUUAUCUGAUGGGCACUACCUACACUGGACGCCCCGUGACCAACCCUCCCCCUCAAGAUAAUGUCCCUAUGCUUAUUGAGUCAUUUAUUAACUUUCCAACUGAUGACAAAGUGAUUGGGGAAGGGAAUGUCCUACCAAUAGAGAACCCUCCUCAUCUGAACAACCCUGUGCAGCAACAUGUGAAAGAAGAAGUUGUGUUUGAUCUAGAGAAAAGUAUACAAUCAUUCAGCAACAAUGGCAACUUGAGUGUUGAGAUUGUAGAAAGUUCACGCCCAAGGAACAAGCCCUAUGUGAUGGAGGACAAUAUUCUCUUCAUCAAACCUUCGAAAGCGGUCGAAAUCAAAGUUUUGAAUGCCCAGGAGGGACAGAUCGUGAAGCUGUCCCUGCGAUACAAAAGCAAGACGCACUACCGGCAACCGGUCCUGGCCUGCUCAGACCACAAGGAGGAAGAUGGCCAAAACCCAGAGGCCACUUUCUAUGUUUAUGAGAAAAAAAAUCUUGUCAAUUACAGUCUGGAAAAUAGGCAUCACACAGCCUUGAUCCCCCUGACAGAGGAAGAGGGCUUUUGUUUUUAUCCAAUCUUCAGGUGCUGGAACUUUUGUGGGAAGAAGUACGGGAAGGACCAAAAGAUGAUCCUCACUGUGUUGGACAAGAUGAGCAAUAGGGUGUUGCAUGAGAGAAGCAUUGAUUUACGUGUCUGUGAGAAUGUUGGCCGAGACCUGCGUCAGUACAGGGACGAGAGGGAUGGGAAUCCUCCAAGGAGGACUGUGGCCAAGAGAUCUCGCCACCAGAUGGAGAAAGAAGCCCAAACAAGUGAGAACCUGAUUGAAGGUCCACCGUCAUCUAGGCCUCGUUACUUCAUGCCUGUGUUUUGAUGGCAAGAGGUUGGAGGCUCCUGCAAGUCCUGAGAUGGACAACAUGCUUCACCACCUCAUCAUAUUUGACUGAGAAAUAGUUGUUAAUGGUAAAGAUGGAGGACAAUUCGCUGGUUGGGACUCUGGAGUCACUGGCCAAAGUGAGAGGUGAAUGUGUUGAACUUGAUCCAGCUGUUCACCACCCUGAGAAAUAUUUCCAGUAAUGCGUGUUAGGUGGUCGUAAACCUGCCUCACCCUGAUAACAACAGAAUGUAGCCU